AUGCUGAGGACACGCAGCUGCUGGUGCUUGUGCUGGAUUUCUGCCUCUGUGCUGCUGAGUCCAGCUCAUGGGCACGCCGGCGACUAUAAUCAGGAGAGGCCCCCCUGCCAACCAGGUUUCUACUGCCCAGCGGGCAGCUCCAGUCCGGUCCCCUGUCCUGAGGGAACCUACGGGCCGACCGCCGAGGCCGUGUCCGUUGACGGCUGCCUUACGUGUCCCCCUCACCAUUACUGUCCUCGAGCCGGCCUGUCCGCCUUCUCGCCUUGCGGCCCUGAGGCCGUGCAGCCUCUUCCUGGUCAGGACGCCUGCAUCUGCCCGGGGGAGGGGCAGCGUUUCCAGGCCAGCGAUGGGCGCUGCCACUGCACCAUCGGCUACCAGCCCACCGGCAGGGGAGACGCGUGCAUGCGCAGACUCUACGACGUCUGCGCAGACGGAGAGGCGCGCACGCAGCACGGGGACUGCCUGGACCGCCGGCAGUGGUCGCUUCACUGCAGCCGGCAGGUGUGUGAGUCGGCAGCAGACUACCGGGGUUACGACACAGAGCUGGGCCUGUGCGUGUGCAGCGAGCCCCCUGGACGAGCUGCGUGCCGAGGCCUGUGUCCCAACCGAGCGGCCACCGAGCUGACGCUCCGGUGCCGGUCGGACGGGGAGGCGGAGCUGGCGUGGAGCAGCGGCGGUCAGGUGCUGGGCGUCUCCGACCUCAUUCACGUCAAGCUCCUCAACAAGUGGGAUUCUCCUCCGUGCAGCCGUCAUGAUUCCUCACAUCUUGUCUACAUCGUCCAAACAACAGAGGCAGGCUUCCUCGGCCUUCUGGACGGCCUCCCAACGGAGCUCCAGCAGCCGCAUCCUGCCUCCACGCAGCCGGAUGCUCAGAGCUCGGCCGACAUUCCAGAUUCUGACGUCUGGUUGGAGGCAGUGGUUAAAAACAUCAGUGAUGGAGAGAAGACUUCCAGCAACAUGAGGGGCAGUCGGUAUAAUCUGCAGGAAGACAUGAGGAGUGUAACCGGAAUACUGAACCCGACAGCGUGUCUCCAUAUGGGUGACGUUAUAAUGUUCACUGUCAAUGCACGUCAUUACCCUCAGUAUGAUCUUGACAACCUGUACAACACUAACGCAGACUUCGACUGGGGUGCGUUCCGGCAGCUGGAGGAGGAGCUGACUCUGUCUUGGACGCCUCCCAGCCUCUUCUCAUUCCCCUUAACCCAACCUGGAGUUUACGUUUUCACCCUGAGCAGCAAUCAGCACAAACACUUGUAUGUGAGGGUGAUGCCCGCGGGUGCCCAGUGUUACGAGCCUGGCCCCUUUUUCCCAGCAAUACCUCAUCACAUGACCAGGAUGGGGAUCAGAAGGAGACGCAACCUGUUGCUGCGGCCUGACUGGCUGGUGACAGGAGGUCUGCUCUUCGGAGCUGUGGUCAUCCUCUGUUUAUGCGUUACCCUGCUGAUCCUGUUCCGGGAGUAUGGGUGGCCGGAGAAAGGGCCGGUCAGGCCGCGGUACCGCUCGCAGCAGUUGGCCUACCACAUGGACGACUACUCGUCUAAAGGGUCGAGGGUGGUGUCGCUCAGGAAGACUCACAGGAACCAGCAAACCAGACUGACGCAAGACUCCAUCCAAGCAGGAGUCUGCACAGAUGCCUCGGAGGACUUCUGGGAUUAUGAACAUCAGGUGGACCUGGAGGCCUUCAGCAGCAACACCUUCUACAGCCUCCUGCUCAAACAGAGCCUGUCCGUCACCAUGCGCCUGGGACAGCUAACCGCAGAGGUAAAGGAGCUGUACCAGGGCGUGCUGGGGAAGCUGCAGCUGCUCCAUCCCUGCCUGAUCGCCGAGGAGAGGGUGGGGGAGAGAAAUGAGAGGAUGAGGAGGGAGGUGGAGAGAGAGGCGUUCCGACGAAAGACCCUGGCCUCACAGCUGAGGACCCUGCUGGACCGGCAGCUACAGGUUGUAAGACAGGAGCAGCAGGCCCAACAAAGAGCCCACAGCUUGUUCACCACUCAUCUCAAACAGUGCACCAGACUAGUGUCCACGGUUUAUGAUCAUGACCACACAUCCUGUGAACUAGAGCAGCAAAAGUAAAGCCAUCAUCUACUGUAUUCACAAGCAGGAAUGGAGAAUAAACCUUCCACUGCGUGUGCUGCUUUCUGUGUC
Long non-coding RNA from Betta splendens (Siamese fighting fish), 2145 nucleotides. Lineage: Eukaryota; Metazoa; Chordata; Actinopteri; Anabantiformes; Osphronemidae. The record is from Ensembl.